GGUUUUGAGCGCUGCCUCGAUCCCGGGCGUGCUCCACGAAAACCCCGCCGUGACGCCCGCACUCAACCUGCUGAUCGUCGUGUGCAAAAACUGCUGCCUUUGUCGUACGACAUGUUAUGUUACGUACUGCCCGAUGACAUGCUGAGUAGCUCCUCGGCGGGACAACCCAAGGAGCUUUACCGCAGGUAUAUCCUGAGGAGUAACUUCUCAGUACCUUAACUCAAAAGUACCUCCCAAUCAGAUCCCGGCCAAGAUGUCCAUGUGGUCGUGCUGCACAAGACAUCCUGAUUUGCUCCAAGGCAUGUACUUUUGGGAUGUCCCAGUAGCACGUGUGAGGGAUUCGUGUGGGAUGAUCCCAAACUCCUCCCAAAAGUAAAUGGGAGCUGCUUUGUUGACUGGGUUCCAGCUUCGACGUCCGCAUUCGAGUCGGCGUUCCGGGACACGGCGCUGCGUCCCGCGACGCCCCUGCACGUGGUGGGCCUGUCGCCCAGGAGUUGCAACGUGUGCAGCAACUGGCUCACCGCUCGGCACCGGACCUACGGCAAGCACCCCUCGGCCGAGGCGGCGUCCUGCGCGACCUGCGCCGAGGCGCGCGCCACCUGCGCCUCCAUGCCUGCCGCCGCCACCGGCCUGCAGUACGUUUGCGUGGGGCGGUAACCAAUGACGGACUUGGUUCGUGUAUUACUUUGUCAAAAAUCAAUAAAUGAUAAAACAGUAA
Molecule: long non-coding RNA, 718 nt
Organism: Frankliniella occidentalis (western flower thrips)
Lineage: Eukaryota; Metazoa; Arthropoda; Insecta; Thysanoptera; Thripidae
Exons: 2
Source: RefSeq, a predicted model, not a curated record